AGAACUUCUUCUUCUGUCCAAUACUGAUAAGCAUCUGGGCCAUUGCAGGUGAAAUCUAUACAAAAUGGUAAUUGGCAUUGAAAAAGGUGAGAGCGACGCUGUAUAAGGAGAGCGGAUCAUCCAAAAAGGAAAUAAUUCUGCAGAGGCAGUCGUCAUUGAGAGUCAGGAUGGAAGCCAUAUUGCGAAACUGAGUACAGGAUAGGCCCGAAUCGCGUACAUACAUGGAAGUUAUUUACCUCUAUGACCAUGGUAUCGCCGAAGAGUUUUUCAGCUAAAUUCUUGUCUAAUUUUUUUUAAUUCUUGCCUUCUGUCGAGAAUGUGGCUUGAUCAUACAAGAAAGCUUUUAUGGAGCCCCAAUCAUGGAAUUCUUAUGAGAAGUAUUAGACUAAGUCAGCCAUUUCUACAAAGUUCAUAAUCAUUUGUGAGUUUUGUCACUUUGAAAGAAACUUUUACACAUGGAAAAAAAAAAAAAAAAA
Molecule: long non-coding RNA, 476 nt
Organism: Stylophora pistillata
Lineage: Eukaryota; Metazoa; Cnidaria; Anthozoa; Scleractinia; Pocilloporidae
Source: RefSeq, a predicted model, not a curated record